Molecule: long non-coding RNA, 1272 nt
Organism: Cornus florida
Lineage: Eukaryota; Viridiplantae; Streptophyta; Magnoliopsida; Cornales; Cornaceae
Exons: 2
Source: RefSeq, a predicted model, not a curated record
AAUAUUCAAUAAGAAAAAAAUGGAAUAAAUUACAAUGACCUACUUCGACAUUUGGCCUAAAUAUAAAUAAAUUUGAUAUUAGUUAUUUUUUUGCAAAGACUUCCUUGUGUCAAAUGUAGUUAUUUUUUGGAGUGAUGUCAUUAACCUACCCUUAUUAUUAUAUUGUUAAAAAAAAAAAAAAAAAAAAAAUGUCCGUGAAUUGAAAAUGAUCAUUUUUCUCACUACAUUGGCCUUACAAUUGGCCAAAUUAUGUAUGGGACAGAGUAUUUGGAACGGUUUAAAAAUUGUCUCAGAGUCUGGUUUUUGGGACAACGAAGUUGUUAACCCACUUUCUCUCUCUUCUCAUUAUCAUCUCUCUCACUCUACAACUUAACCUAAUGUCAUAUAUCGUCUAUCUACUCUCUCUGUACAGCCGACGCCGCACCAGUUGCAACUAUUUCACGCCGGCCAGGUCGGCUUGCCACACUCUUCUCGGCUUGGAGCGACAUACAUACGAAAAACAAAGGCUAAGAAGGAAUUCAUUUGUAGAAGCAUAGUGAGGAGGAUUGAUUGAAUUUGGAAGGUCUGCUUUUUCGCUGCUUCUAAUUUCUCUCAUGUCAAUCGGAGCUCACUCUCUCUCUCUCUCUCUCGAUCGGUGAUCGGUGAUUGAAAUCGACAACUAUCCGAAAAAAUGGUGGCCCAAUCAUUAGAUCCAUCUGUUUAUGUGGAUGCUAGUAGUUUCAGUCCUGGUGGAUGAGCAGAUUUUGGAGAACUGUCUUGGAACAGGAAAGGGUACAUAUUUCCGUGGCUUGGGUUAUGGAAAGAAGGCUCCUUCAGCAUCCUCAAGACCUAAGAGGAAGGCAAAUGCAGAGUGGGAGGCAGAGUUGAAGCUGAAAGGAGGAAGUCUAAUAGAGCUGAACAAAAAUGUGAUGAAAUGUUGGAAUCCAUAAAUGAUUUGAAGGCAACAGUGAAAGGUAUCUUGGAGAAUCAAAGGGUGUCUUCUCCUCAAUUCAUGUUCACACCAUUCGGCGGAUAUCGUCCUGCACUUGGCAGCCCACAGCAGCAGCAACCUCCUUAUGGAUCUUUUGGCAGCCUAUUAAAUAAUCCGCAGCCACCGAAGUUUGGCCUAUAUGGUCUGUACACAUCACUUAACCCCGACUCACCAACAAAUGACGAAUGAUUCCAACUAUGUUAUUGAUUUUUACAUAUAAUGCUAUUAGGUGUUGAUUUGACCAUAAUUGAUAUCACUUUGUUUUUUAAUUAAUGGUUAUUAAAUUUAUUUUUUUGUAUUAA